RNAcentral lists this small nucleolar RNA (94 nucleotides) under Carlito syrichta (Philippine tarsier). RNAcentral's name for it is "Small nucleolar RNA SNORA31 (ENSTSYG00000020027.2)". It matches the Rfam family "Small nucleolar RNA SNORA31". Rfam says of the family: ACA31 (SNORA31) belongs to the H/ACA class of snoRNAs which are thought to guide the sites of modification of uridines to pseudouridines. ACA31 is predicted to guide the pseudouridylation of U3713 in 28S rRNA and U218 in 18S rRNA. The record is from Rfam by way of RNAcentral. Lineage: Eukaryota; Metazoa; Chordata; Mammalia; Primates; Tarsiidae.
AAGCAUGCAAAUUGCACCAGGAUGCAAAAGAAAGAAAUCCCUGCGCUUUCUGUCUGUCUUUGUGGCGGCCCAGAUUGAAUUGGGGAAUACAUUU